UAUUGUAUUACAUGCCGGAAACAAACUUGCAAUACAUCUAUUUUCAGUGUAUAACUGGAAGCACUACCCAAGAGCUGUUCGUCUCUAUCGACCAGCACUUUCGUUGGCAGACGCCGUCUAUAUGGCAGCGACCAUAAAUAACUCAGUUCCUGUCCGAGGAGCCCGAGGAGUGGUGACACGAGUGUUUUAUGAUGUUCUAAAUACCACUUCUGUUCUGGGUAAGGCAAUAGCAUGAGUCUCUAACCAUCACGGUACGUUAUCUUCUUAUACGAGUUUGCCGGCUGGUUUACCACGCUNNN
This 299-nucleotide long non-coding RNA is filed under the name Nicotiana benthamiana. Its description in RNAcentral is "long non-coding RNA (NBEN_LNC007286)". The record is from RNAcentral. Lineage: Eukaryota; Viridiplantae; Streptophyta; Magnoliopsida; Solanales; Solanaceae.